Molecule: transfer RNA, 67 nt
Filed under: Trapezia guttata
Lineage: Eukaryota; Metazoa; Arthropoda; Malacostraca; Decapoda; Trapeziidae
Description: tRNA-Ser
Source: RNAcentral
AGAAUAUUAAGCCCAAAAAAGAAGCUUCUAACUUUUUUUUAAGCAGUUAAACUCUGUUUAUAUUCUA